CCCUUAGAGUUUGAUCCUGGCUCAGAACGAACGCUGGCGGCGUGGAUAAGACAUGCAAGUCGAACGAGAGAAUUGCUAGCUUGCUAAUAAUUCUCUAGUGGCGCACGGGUGAGUAACACGUGAGUAACCUGCCCCCAAGAGUGGGAUAGCCCCGGGAAACUGGGAUUAAUACCGCAUAAAAUCGCAAGAUUAAAGCAGCAAUGCGCUUGGGGAUGGGCUCGCGUCCUAUUAGUUAGUUGGUGAGGUAACGGCUCACCAAGGCGAUGACGGGUAGCCGGUCUGAGAGGAUGUCCGGCCACACUGGAACUGAGACACGGUCCAGACACCUACGGGUGGCAGCAGUCGAGAAUCAUUCACAAUGGGGGAAACCCUGAUGGUGCGACGCCGCGUGGGGGAAUGAAGGUCUUCGGAUUGUAAACCCCUG
Molecule: ribosomal RNA, 424 nt
Filed under: uncultured bacterium
Lineage: Bacteria
Description: bacterial SSU rRNA
Rfam family: Bacterial small subunit ribosomal RNA
Source: RNAcentral